Cyprinus carpio (common carp) is the source of this 2278-nucleotide long non-coding RNA. NCBI's taxonomy places the organism in Eukaryota, Metazoa, Chordata, Actinopteri, Cypriniformes, Cyprinidae. The record is from Ensembl.
AUGGACCUCCCUGACAGCGGUGAGCGCUGGUGUCUGAUCUGUGGGGACCGGGCAUCCGGGCUGCACUAUGGCAUCAUUUCCUGUGAGGGGUGUAAGGGCUUCUUCAAACGCAGUAUUUGCAACAAGCGCAUCUACCGCUGCAACAGGGACAAGAACUGCCAGAUGUCCCGCAAGCAACGCAACCGCUGUCAGUACUGCAGACUGCAGAAAUGCCUUCAGAUGGGAAUGAACCGCAAGGCAAUCAGAGAAGACGGGAUGCCAGGAGGGAGAAACAAAAUGAUUGGGCCUGUACGGUCUGGCCAGGAGUUUAAAGAAGGAGCUGAACUAUCAGAUACGUGGAGCCACGGCUACAGUAACCACAGUUCACCUGGCAACAGUAUCUCCGAGGGCGGUCAAACCGUAUCUUUUUCCACGCUGUCAAGCAGCCGUUCUGUGGAUGUGAGCACAUACCCUGUGUCCUGUAGAGAUCAGUGCAACAGUCCUAAGCUGACACACUCUUUCCUGUUGUGUAAAUAUCCUUUACCGCCCUCUACUGGCAGCAGCCUGAAGGCGCAAUCGCACACACUGUCAGCCCAGCUACUCGCUGCUGAAGAUCUCACACCUCUCACUACACCCAUGGUCAUAGAAGAGGGGUAUAAUGUGACUCAGUCGGAGCUGUUGGCUCUGCUGUGCCGUAUAGCUGAUGAGCUGUUAUUCAGACAGAUUGUCUGGCUGAAGCGUUUACCCUUCUAUAGCAAUCUGUCCAUCAAAGACUGCACUCGUUUACUGGGGGCUUCCUGGCAUCAGCUCAUCCUGCUCUCUUCGCUCACUGUGCACAGCGGACAGAUACUGGGAGAACUGGCCAACAUCACACACCAGUACACACCGUCCAGCCUAACAUUACAGGGGUUUGGUGAGGGUGCUAUGGAGGUCAUGGAGAGUUUAAAUUUUCUCUUCCGUAAGUUUCAGCAACUAAAUAUCAGCAAUGAGGAGUACAGCUGCUUAAAGACCAUCACCCUGCUCAAUCAAGAUAUGGCAGGUUUGUGCAACACGUCCACACUGGAACAGUUGAGUGAACGUUACUGGUCCGUGUGUCGUGACCUGACAGAACGACUCCACCCUCGUCGACCCAAACGCUUCUCUGACAUCAUCACCUGCCUUUCCGAGAUACGCCACACCUCAGGUAAGAUGAUGGCCAUUCCACUGGAGCAGCUCCCACUGCUGUUUAAGGCGGUACUGUACUCCUGCACAACCAAUCAAAACCCCUGGCUUGCCAACAGCUCCACCUCCAAGACAUAAGCCAUGACUCCAACUAAGUGUUUUAGUUGUUUUUCCCCCAAUGUAUUUAUUACAUGACAAAGUUGAAUGUAAAACUCUUGACAGUUUUGUGUGUGAUUUCGAAGUGCACCAAAUGUAGCGAUUUACCAAAUUAGAUUUCAAGAUGCCUGUAAAGAUUAACUCAGGAACAAGCCUUUGGAAAACCACAAACUCUUUGACCAUUGUGUUAAUGAUCAAAAUGAAAAGAAAAACCACAAAUGAACACACUGCAAGCCAUUGUUGAAUAAUGCAGCCUCUAGCUAUGAUAUGAAAUGUCCUUGUGUUACAGGAUGUCACUGAUAAAAUAUGCCUGAUAAAAUAGUGAAGAUGCCAAGGUGCUGAAUUUCAUUCAAAAAAAUAAUGUUUCUUAUUCAGAUGAUAGCUACAUUUGAGCUAUAGAGAUUUAAAUAGUCAAAAUGAUCAUCCACAGCUCACAAGUUUGAGUACCAAAGCUGAGUGUGCCACAUUAUACAUGUUUUUGACCAUAGUUUUUUCAGGAUGGAGACUUCCGGUAAUGUUUGAGCCAGUCGCCGGGGUAACGAAAUGCAAUAAGCACACUCUUUAUCCCAGGUGUGUGUGUGUGUUACAUGUGUGAUUUCCUCUCACACACGUCUUCAAAGAAGUGUGAAUGCUUGAACAGGGUUUAUGUGUUUGUAUUUUGGCGUAGUUGUAGUUUUGUUGGAAAUAUAAUUCCUCAUUGUUUUGAUCAUUUUAUUCCUGUUUUUGAACGUUAUUAUGUGUUUUACCUGUUACCAGAUGAGCCAUUUCUCAGGAAGGCCAGAGGGUUGAGUUUAAUGAAACUUCAUCGUGUUGUACAGACGAACAUUCCAAAUAUUACUAAACAUUGGAGGAAUUUCAUGUGGUUUUAACUCUUUGAAAGUUUACAUUUCUGUUUUUGCCGCAGCAGCAGACAAUGAGAGGGUAGAGUAUAGUGACACGCUCGAGGAUAGCAUGCGAGGGUCGCUCUGAUAGAUAGCGGAGA